Molecule: ribosomal RNA, 279 nt
Filed under: uncultured bacterium
Lineage: Bacteria
Description: partial 16S ribosomal RNA
Rfam family: Bacterial small subunit ribosomal RNA
Source: RNAcentral
UGCCAGCCGCCGCGGUAAUACGGAGGGUGCAAGCGUUAAUCGGAAUUACUGGGCGUAAAGCGCGCGUAGGUUGAUUGGUCAGUCAGAUGUGAAAGCCCCGGGCUCAACCUGGGAACUGCACCUGAUACUGCCAGUCUAGAAUACGGUAGAGGGUAGUGGAAUUUCCUGUGUAGCGGUGAAAUGCGUAGAUAUAGGAAGGAACACCAGUGGCGAAGGCGACUACCUGGGCCGAUAUUGACGCUGAGCCGCAAAGGCGUGUGUAGCGAACGGGGUUAGAUA